CGGUCCUUCCGAGUUCCCUGGAACGGGACGCCUUAGAGGGUGAAACCCCCGUACGGUUGGACACCAACCUUCGUAAAGCUUCUCGACGAGUCGAGUAGUUGGGAAUGCUGCUCUAAAUGGGAGGUAAAUUUCUUCUAAAGCUAAAUAUUGGCCAGAGCCCGAUAGCGCACAAGUAGAGUGAUCGAAAGAUGAAAAGCCCUUUGAAAAGAGGGUUAAAUAGCACGUGAAAUUGUUGAAAGGGAAGCGUUUGCGACCAGACCUUUUCCUGGCGGAUCAUCCGGUGUUCUCACCGGUGCACUUCGCCAGGUUGAGGCCAGCAUCGGUUUCCGCAGGGGGAUAAAAGCCUGGGGAAUGUAGCUCUUUCGGGAGUGUUAUAGCCCCUAGCAUAAUACCCUUGUGGGGACCGAGGACCGCGCUUCGGCAAGGAUGCUGGCGUAAUGGUCGUCAACGACCCGUCUUGAAACACGGACCAAGGAGUCGAACAUUUGUGCGAGUGUUUGGGUGUCAAACCCUCACGCGUAAUGAAAGUGAACGGAGGUGAGAGCCCUUACGGGUGCAUCAUCGACCGAUCCUGAUGUCUUCGGAUGGAUUUGAGUAAGAGCAUAACUGUUCGGACCCGAAAGAUGGUGAACUAUGCGUGGAUAGGGUGAAGCCAGAGGAAACUCUGGUGGAGGCUCGCAGCGGUUCUGACGUGCAAAUCGAUCGUCAAAUCUGCGCAUGGGGGCGAAAGACUUAUCGAACCAUCUAGUAGCUGGUUACCGCCGAAGUUUCCCUCAGGAUAGCAGUGUUGUUCUUCAGUUUUAUGAGGUAAAGCGAAUGAUUAGGGACUCGGGGGCUAUUUUUUGCCUUCAUCCAUUCUCAAACUUUAAAUAUGUAAGAAGCCCUUGUUACUUAAUUGAACGUGGGCAUUCGAAUGUACCAACACUAGUGGGCCAUUUUUGGUAAGCAGAACUGGCGAUGCGGGAUGAACCGAACGCGGGGUUAAGGUGCCGGAGUGGACGCUCAUCAGACACCACAAAAGGUGUUAGCACAUUUAGACAAUAGGACGGUGGCCAUGGAAGUCGGAAUCCGCUAAGGACUGUGUAACAACUCACCUAUCGAAUGUGCUAGCCCUGAAAAUGGAUGGCGCUCAAGCGUCCCACCCAUACCUCGCCCUCAGGGUAGAAACGAUGCCCUGAGGAGUAGGCGGCCGUGGGGGUCAGUGACGAAGCCUAGGGCGGAGCCCGUCAUCCCA
Molecule: ribosomal RNA, 1234 nt
Filed under: Poronia nagaraholensis
Lineage: Eukaryota; Fungi; Ascomycota; Sordariomycetes; Xylariales; Xylariaceae
Description: Poronia sp. SM-2022a partial large subunit ribosomal RNA
Rfam family: Eukaryotic large subunit ribosomal RNA
Source: RNAcentral